UACGGGGGGAGCAAGCGUUGUUCGGAAUUAUUGGGCGUAAAGCGCGCGCAGGCGGUUUCUUAAGUCUGAUGUGAAAGCCCACGGCUCAACCGUGGAGGGUCAUUGGAAACUGGGGAACUUGAGUGCAGAAGAGAAAAGCGGAAUUCCACGUGUAGCGGUGAAAUGCGUAGAGAUGUGGAGGAACACCAGUGGCGAAGGCGGCUUUUUGGUCUGUAACUGACGCUGAGGCGCGAAAGCGUGGGGAGCAAACAGG
This 253-nucleotide ribosomal RNA is filed under the name uncultured bacterium. RNAcentral describes it as "partial 16S ribosomal RNA". It matches the Rfam family "Bacterial small subunit ribosomal RNA", at positions 524 to 776 of the family's 1533-position model. The record is from RNAcentral.